CCUACGGGAGGCAGCAGUGGGGGAAUUUUUGGACAAUGGGCGCAAGCCUGAUCCAGCCAUGCCGCGUGUGGGAAGAAGGCCUUCGGGUUGUAAACCACUUUUGUCAGGGAAGAAACGGUCUGAACUAAUACUUUGGACUAAUGACGGUACCUGAAGAAUAAGCACCGGCUAACUACGUGCCAGCAGCCGCGGUAAUACGUAGGGUGCAAGCGUUAAUCGGAAUUACUGGGCGUAAAGCGUGCGCAGGCGGCUUUGCAAGACAGAUGUGAAAUCCCCGGGCUCAACCUGGGAACUGCAUUUGUGACUGCAUGGCUAGAGUACGGUAGAGGGGGAUGGAAUUCCGCGUGUAGCAGUGAAAUGCGUAGAUAUGCGGAGGAACACCGAUGGCGAAGGCAAUCCCCUGGACCUGUACUGACGCUCAUGCACGAAAGCGUGGGGAGCAAACAGGAUUAGAUACCCUGGUAGUCCACGCCCUAAACGAUGUCAACUGUGUUGGAGGGUUUCUUNUCAGUACGAAGCUAAGCGUGAAGUUGACCGCCUGGGAGUGGCCGCAAGUUGAAACUCAAAGGAAUUGACCGGNGNGNGAGNGCGAGCGACGACGAGGAGAGG
This 609-nucleotide ribosomal RNA is filed under the name uncultured bacterium. RNAcentral describes it as "bacterial SSU rRNA". It matches the Rfam family "Bacterial small subunit ribosomal RNA", at positions 338 to 945 of the family's 1533-position model. The record is from RNAcentral.